This 497-nucleotide ribosomal RNA is filed under the name uncultured bacterium. Its description in RNAcentral is "partial 16S ribosomal RNA". It matches the Rfam family "Bacterial small subunit ribosomal RNA", at positions 28 to 507 of the family's 1533-position model. The record is from RNAcentral.
GACGAACGCUGGCGGCUUGCCUAAUACAUGCAAGUUGAGCGCUGAAGGUUGGUACUUGUACCAACUGGAUGAGCAGCGAACGGGUGAGUAACGCGUGGGGAAUCUGCCUUUGAGCGGGGGACAACAUUUGGAAACGAAUGCUAAUACCGCAUAAAAACUUUAAACACAAGUUUUAAGUUUGAAAGAUGCAAUUGCAUCACUCAAAGAUGAUCCCGCGUUGUAUUAGCUAGUUGGUGAGGUAAAGGCUCACCAAGGCGAUGAUACAUAGCCGACCUGAGAGGGUGAUCGGCCACAUUGGGACUGAGACACGGCCCAAACUCCUACGGGAGGCAGCAGUAGGGAAUCUUCGGCAAUGGACGAAAGUCUGACCGAGCAACGCCGCGUGAGUGAAGAAGGUUUUCGGAUCGUAAAACUCUGUUGGUAGAGAAGAACGUUGGUGAGAGUGGAAAGCUCAUCAAGUGACGGUAACUACCCAGAAAGGGACGGCUAACUACGUG